AUGAAUACAUGGUACUUUGGUUUGUAGGUAUAAGCUUUGAUACCAUGUGAAUUUUCACAACACUGAUUCAAUUCUUGAUUCCUUUGAUCAAAUACAUUGAGAUAGGCCUUAUAGGAAAGGGAAUUGCAUCUAUCAAUGAGCAAAAAGAUAAGAAAAGGAUAGGUAGUAACUUGUGCUUAAUUGUUAGAGGAUGGAUUGUA
This 200-nucleotide long non-coding RNA is filed under the name Vitis vinifera (wine grape). RNAcentral describes it as "long non-coding RNA (VVIN_LNC002350)". Lineage: Eukaryota; Viridiplantae; Streptophyta; Magnoliopsida; Vitales; Vitaceae. The record is from RNAcentral.